ACGGCUAACCUGACCAAGGGAAGGGCGAAAGUCGCCCAAGGUAAUGAGUUGGUGAUUGGGGUG
Molecule: ribosomal RNA, 63 nt
Filed under: uncultured bacterium
Lineage: Bacteria
Description: partial 16S ribosomal RNA
Source: RNAcentral